This 246-nucleotide unclassified non-coding RNA is filed under the name Glomus sp. RNAcentral describes it as "partial contains 5.8S ribosomal RNA and internal transcribed spacer 2". Lineage: Eukaryota; Fungi; Glomeromycota; Glomeromycetes; Glomerales; Glomeraceae. The record is from RNAcentral.
GUGAAUCAUCGAAUUUUUGAGCGCAAAUUGCACUCUCCUCGGAGACUAUGCGUGUUUGAGGGUCAGCCUAUAAUAAAUCUACAUCGUUGCUGUUUCGCGGUGUCGUUCGUCGGAAAUUGGGUCAUCUUAAAUCUUUUUGCUUUAAGCGACUUAAAAAUUUCUUUUGGUUCCAUGAACGUUUCUAGGUUCUAUUUCUUUACACGUUUAAGGUAUCGUUCUUUACUACACGUUACACUCAUAUCGGAU